Molecule: ribosomal RNA, 192 nt
Filed under: Balaena mysticetus (bowhead whale)
Lineage: Eukaryota; Metazoa; Chordata; Mammalia; Artiodactyla; Balaenidae
Description: partial 12S ribosomal RNA
Source: RNAcentral
UAAAGGUUUGGUCCCAGCCUUUCUAUUAGUUCUAAACAGACUUACACAUGCGAGCAUCUACAUCCCGGUGAGAACGCCCUCUAAAUCAUCAAGGAUCAAAAGGAGCAGGUAUCAAGCACACUAACACUAGUAGCUCAUAACGCCUCGCUUAGCCACACCCCCACGGGACACAGCAGUGAUAAAAAUUAAGCC